UGCAAGUCGAGCGGUAACAGAAAGUAGCUUGCUACUUUGCUGACGAGCGGCGGACGGGUGAGUAAUGCUUGGGAACAUGCCUUGAGGUGGGGGACAACAGUUGGAAACGACUGCUAAUACCGCAUAAUGUCUACGGACCAAAGGGGGCUUCGGCUCUCGCCUUUAGAUUGGCCCAAGUGGGAUUAGCUAGUUGGUGAGGUAAUGGCUCACCAAGGCGACGAUCCCUAGCUGGUUUGAGAGGAUGAUCAGCCACACUGGGACUGAGACACGGCCCAGACUCCUACGGGAGGCAGCAGUGGGGAAUAUUGCACAAUGGGCGCAAGCCUGAUGCAGCCAUGCCGCGUGUGUGAAGAAGGCCUUCGGGUUGUAAAGCACUUUCAGUCAGGAGGAAAGGUUAGUAGUUAAUACCUGCUAGCUGUGACGUUACUGACAGAAGAAGCACCGGCUAACUCCGUGCCAGCAGCCGCGGUAAUACGGAGGGUGCGAGCGUUAAUCGGAAUUACUGGGCGUAAAGCGUACGCAGGCGGUUUGUUAAGCGAGAUGUGAAAGCCCCGGGCUCAACCUGGGAACUGCAUUUCGAACUGGCAAACUANANUGUGAUAGAGGGNGGGGGG
This 614-nucleotide ribosomal RNA is filed under the name uncultured bacterium. RNAcentral's name for it is "bacterial SSU rRNA". It matches the Rfam family "Bacterial small subunit ribosomal RNA", at positions 56 to 665 of the family's 1533-position model. The record is from RNAcentral.